UGGGCUGUAACUGACGCUGAGGCUCGAAAGCGUGGGUAGCANACAGGAUUAGAUACCCUGGUAGUCCACGCCGUAAACGAUGAUUACUAGGUGUGGGGGGACUGACCCCUCCCGUGCCGGAGUUAACACAAUAAGUAAUCCACCUGGGGAGUACGACCGCAAGGUUGAAACUCAAAGGAAUUGACGGGGGCCCGCACAAGCAGUGGAGUAUGUGGUUUAAUUCGAAGCAACGCGAAGAACCUUACCAGGUCUUGACAUCGAGUGACGAACUUAGAGAUAAGUUUUUCCUUCGGGACACGAAGACAGGUGGUGCAUGGUUGUCGUCAGCUCGUGUCGUGAGAUGUUGGGUUAAGUCCCGCAACGAGCGCAACCCUUAUCAUUAGUUGCUACGCAAGAGCACUCUAAUGAGACUGCCGUUGAUAAAACGGAGGAAGGUGGGGAUGACGUCAAAUCAUCAUGCCCCUUAUGACCUGGGCUACACACGUACUACAAUGGUGAUCAAACAGAGGGAAGCAACACAGCGAUGUGAAGCAGAACCCGAAAAAUCAUCUCAGUUCAGAUUGCAGGCUGCAACUCGCCUGCAUGAAGUCGGAAUUGCUAGUAAUCGCGGAUCAGCAUGCCGCGGUGAAUACGUUCCCGGGCCUUGUACAC
This 651-nucleotide ribosomal RNA is filed under the name uncultured bacterium. RNAcentral's name for it is "bacterial SSU rRNA". It matches the Rfam family "Bacterial small subunit ribosomal RNA", at positions 730 to 1388 of the family's 1533-position model. The record is from RNAcentral.